UCUAAAAAUAAAAAUCAUAAACAAAAUAUUGGAUUCCAAAUACCUUAAAUUCCAACCUUCUUUCUAUUUAAAAUAGAGAUCUCAAUUACAAUCAUUAUGCUCUAUGUUAAGAAUCCACUUCAGGGAUGGCAUUUUUAUAUAGAAAAAAAAAAUCUUCAAAACCCCCUUCUAAAAUCCAUCUCCUAGCUUGAUAAAUAACUGAAAAAGAAAGGCAAAAGCAAACAAGAGCAAUAAUUUGAAUUUUUUGCAGAGAUUAAGAGC
RNAcentral lists this long non-coding RNA (261 nucleotides) under Elaeis guineensis (African oil palm). RNAcentral's name for it is "long non-coding RNA (EGUI_LNC012282)". Lineage: Eukaryota; Viridiplantae; Streptophyta; Magnoliopsida; Arecales; Arecaceae. The record is from RNAcentral.